RNAcentral lists this ribosomal RNA (253 nucleotides) under uncultured bacterium. Its description in RNAcentral is "partial 16S ribosomal RNA". It matches the Rfam family "Bacterial small subunit ribosomal RNA", at positions 524 to 776 of the family's 1533-position model. The record is from RNAcentral.
UACGAAGGGGGCUAGCGUUGUUCGGAAUUACUGGGCGUAAAGCGCACGUAGGCGGAUAUUUAAGUCAGGCGUGAAAGCCCCGGGCUCAACCUGGGAACCGCGCUUGAGACUGGAGAACUAGAGUUCGGGAGAGGAUGGUGGAAUUCCCAGUGUAGAGGUGAAAUUCGUAGAUAUUGGGAAGAACACCGAUGGCGAAGGCAGCCAUCUGGACCGACACUGACGCUGAGGCGCGAAAGCGUGGGGAGCAAACAGG